This 157-nucleotide non-coding RNA is filed under the name Deltaproteobacteria bacterium. Its description in RNAcentral is "6S RNA". It matches the Rfam family "6S / SsrS RNA". Rfam says of the family: E. coli 6S RNA was the first non coding RNA to be sequenced, but its function was unknown until recently. It consists of 184 nucleotides that fold into an extended hairpin structure with a large single-stranded internal bulge. The 6S RNA specifically associates with RNA polymerase holoenzyme containing the sigma70 specificity factor. Lineage: Bacteria; Pseudomonadati; Myxococcota; Myxococcia. The record is from RNAcentral.
CUUUCCCUGCCUUGUUGGUGCAUGGUUUGUAUUAAGUUUUGAACCUACAAUCAAAACUUUGGGAGCUGUCCCUUAUCAUGGCGUGCCAUGGUAAUAUGGUUCCUCCCUAUUUAUAGGGUUCAAUCCUGUCGAGCCACACGGCAAAGGUGGGGAAAUU